RNAcentral lists this ribosomal RNA (250 nucleotides) under uncultured bacterium. Its description in RNAcentral is "partial 16S ribosomal RNA". It matches the Rfam family "Bacterial small subunit ribosomal RNA", at positions 524 to 773 of the family's 1533-position model. The record is from RNAcentral.
UACGUAGGGUGCGAGCGUUAAUCGGAAUUACUGGGCGUAAAGCGUGCGCAGGCGGUUCGUGAUGUCUGAUGUGAAAGCCCCGGGCUCAACCUGGGAAUUGCAUUGGAAACUAGCGGGCUGGAGUGUGGCAGAGGGGGGUGGAGUUCCACGUGUAGCAGUGAAAUGCGUAGAGAUGUGGAGGAACACCGAUGGCGAAGGCAGCCCCCUGGGCUAACACUGACGCUCAUGCACGAAAGCGUGGGGAGCAAAC